This 776-nucleotide ribosomal RNA is filed under the name uncultured Enterococcaceae bacterium. RNAcentral describes it as "bacterial SSU rRNA". It matches the Rfam family "Bacterial small subunit ribosomal RNA", at positions 28 to 776 of the family's 1533-position model. Lineage: Bacteria; Bacillati; Bacillota; Bacilli; Lactobacillales; Enterococcaceae. The record is from RNAcentral.
GACGAACGCUGGCGGCGUGCCUAAUACAUGCAAGUCGAACGCUUUUUCUUUCACCGGAGCUUGCUCCACCGAAAGAAAAAGAGUGGCGAACGGGUGAGUAACACGUGGGUAACCUGCCCAUCAGAAGGGGAUAACACUUGGAAACAGGUGCUAAUACCGUAUAACAAGUAAAACCGCAUGGUUUUACUUUGAAAGGCGCUUNUGCGUCACUGAUGGAUGGACCCGCGGUGCAUUAGCUAGUUGGUGAGGUAACGGCUCACCAAGGCAACGAUGCAUAGCCGACCUGAGAGGGUGAUCGGCCACAUUGGGACUGAGACACGGCCCAAACUCCUACGGGAGGCAGCAGUAGGGAAUCUUCGGCAAUGGACGAAAGUCUGACCGAGCAACGCCGCGUGAGUGAAGAAGGUUUUAGGAUCGUAAAACUCUGUUGUUAGAGAAGAACAAGGAUGAGAGUAAAAUGUUCAUCCCUUGACGGUAUCUAACCAGAAAGCCACGGCUAACUACGUGCCAGCAGCCGCGGUAAUACGUAGGUGGCAAGCGUUGUCCGGAUUUAUUGGGCGUAAAGCGAGCGCAGGCGGUUUCUUAAGUCUGAUGUGAAAGCCCCCGGCUCAACCGGGGAGGGUCAUUGGAAACUGGGAAACUUGAGUGCAGAAGAGGAGAGUGGAAUUCCAUGUGUAGCGGUGAAAUGCGUAGAUAUAUGGAGGAACACCAGUGGCGAAGGCGGCUCUCUGGUCUGUAACUGACGCUGAGGCUCGAAAGCGUGGGGAGCAAACAGG